UUUUCUCGAGCGGAACUUGAGGAGCCGGCCGCCGCUGGUGAGAUCGAAGCUCCACCUCCACCGCCUCGCCAUGGACGCGGCGCUGGCGUACAAAUCUGACAAGCCAACGUUUAUAGUCAAGAUACAAGGCGACGAGACGGUUCUGGUAAGAGACAACGUUUACCUCGCAAGAUGACUGGAUGACUUUUUUUUUCCAGAGUGUGAGGAGGGAGUUUGCCGAAAGAUAUCUUCCUCGCAAGCCCGCCACGACCAGCGUGGUGGACGGGGA
This 268-nucleotide long non-coding RNA is filed under the name Selaginella moellendorffii. Its description in RNAcentral is "long non-coding RNA (SMOE_LNC000762)". Lineage: Eukaryota; Viridiplantae; Streptophyta; Lycopodiopsida; Selaginellales; Selaginellaceae. The record is from RNAcentral.